AUUGAACGCUGGCGGCAUGCUUUACACAUGCAAGUCGAACGGCAGCGCGGGCUUCGGCCUGGCGGCGAGUGGCGAACGGGUGAGUAAUGCAUCGGAACGUGCCCAGUAGUGGGGGAUAGCCCGGCGAAAGCCGGAUUAAUACCGCAUACGACCUGAGGGUGAAAGCGGGGGACCGAAAGGCCUCGCGCUAUUGGAGCGUCCGAUGUCGGAUUAGCUAGUUGGUGGGGUAAAGGCUUACCAAGGCGACGAUCCGUAGCUGGUCUGAGAGGACGACCAGCCACACUGGGACUGAGACACGGCCCAGACUCCUACGAGAGGCAGCAGUGGGGAAUUUUGGACAAUGGGGGCAACCCUGAUCCAGCCAUGCCGCGUGCGGGAAGAAGGCCUUCGGGUUGUAAACCGCUUUUGUUCGGGAAGAAAUCCUCUGGGCUAAUACCCCGGGGGGAUGACGGUACCGGAAGAAUAAGCACCGGCUAACUACGUG
This 484-nucleotide ribosomal RNA is filed under the name uncultured bacterium. RNAcentral's name for it is "partial 16S ribosomal RNA". It matches the Rfam family "Bacterial small subunit ribosomal RNA", at positions 29 to 507 of the family's 1533-position model. The record is from RNAcentral.